UCCGGUAUCUUUUACUUGAAUUAGUUGCUUAUAUUCAUGUGUCUUAGUUACUUUUCAUGCAUUUUGUGUUUAUUUUGUAGAUUUUAUGUUUGGAAGUGGUGUGAACGAUUAUUGUAAAGAAACGCAAAGAAAAUGCAAAAGAAAAGGCAAUCCGGAUAUCAUUUGGGCUUUCAUGUUACUUCAUGUUCUUGGUUUGGAACUUAGCUUACUCUGUAGAGCGUCUUCAUAGCUCUCCGGAACAUCUUGAAUCGCUCUAAUCGGAGUUCG
This 267-nucleotide long non-coding RNA is filed under the name Panax ginseng (ginseng). RNAcentral's name for it is "long non-coding RNA (PGIN_LNC008346)". The record is from RNAcentral. Lineage: Eukaryota; Viridiplantae; Streptophyta; Magnoliopsida; Apiales; Araliaceae.